CUGGCUCAGAACGAACGCUGGCGGCGCGUCUUAAGCAUGCAAGUCGAACGGCAAGAGGUAGCAAUACCUCCUAGAGUGGCGGACUGGUGAGUAACACGUGGGUGACAUACCCUUCAGAUGGGGAUAGCUAUUAGAAAUAGUAGAUAAUACCGAAUACGAGCACAGGGGUUAGAGAUCUGUGAGGAAAGGAGCUAAGGCUCCGCUGAAGGAAUGGCCUGCGGCCCAUUAGCUAGUUGGUGAGGUAAGAGCCCACCAAGGCGAUGAUGGGUAUCCGGCCUUAGAGGGUGAACGGACACAUUGGGACUGAGAUACGGCCCAGACUCCUACGGGAGGCAGCAGCUAAGAAUAUUCCGCAAUGGACGAAAGUCUGACGGAGCGACGCCGCCGUGGAUGAAGGAGGCCGGAAGGUUGUAAAAUCCUUUUGAAACUGAAGAAUAAGCGUUGUAGGGAAUGACAGCGUGGUGACAGUAGGUUUUGAAUAAGCAACGGCUAAUUACGUGCCAGCCGCCGC
This 511-nucleotide ribosomal RNA is filed under the name uncultured bacterium. Its description in RNAcentral is "bacterial SSU rRNA". It matches the Rfam family "Bacterial small subunit ribosomal RNA", at positions 19 to 518 of the family's 1533-position model. The record is from RNAcentral.